RNAcentral lists this ribosomal RNA (649 nucleotides) under uncultured bacterium. Its description in RNAcentral is "bacterial SSU rRNA". It matches the Rfam family "Bacterial small subunit ribosomal RNA", at positions 43 to 656 of the family's 1533-position model. The record is from RNAcentral.
CAGGCCUAACUCAUGCAGUCGAGCGGAAACGGCAGUAUUGAAACUUCGGUGGAUUUACUGGCCGUCGUUUUGCAGACGGGUGAGUAACGGCUGGGAACCUGCCCUGACGAGGGGGAUAACCGUUGGAAAUGACGGCUAAUACCGCAUAAUGUCUUGAUUCGUUAGAGUCAGGACCAAAGGUGGCCUCUACAUGUAAGCUAUCGCGUUGGGAUGGGCCCAGUUAGGAUUAGCUAGUUGGUAAGGUAAUGGCUUACCAAGGCAACGAUCCUUAGCUGGUUUGAGAGGAUGAUCAGCCACACUGGGACUGAAACACGGCCCAGACUCCUACGGGAGGCAGCAGUGGGGAAUAUUGCACAAUGGGGGAGACCCUGAUGCAGCCAUGCCGCGUGUGUGAAGAAGGCCUUCGGGUUGUAAAGCACUUUCAGCAGUGAGGAAGGUCGUGUACUUAAUACGUGCACGGCUUGACGUUAGCUGCAGAAGAAGCACCGGCUAACUCCGUGCCAGCAGCCGCGGUAAUACGGAGGGUGCGAGCGUUAAUCGGAAUUACUGGGCGUAAAGCGCAUGCAGGCGGUUUGUUAAGUCAGAUGUGAAAGCCCGGGGCUCAACCUCGGAACCGCAUUUGAAACUGGCAGGCUAGAGUCUUGUAGAG